RNAcentral lists this ribosomal RNA (253 nucleotides) under uncultured bacterium. RNAcentral describes it as "partial 16S ribosomal RNA". It matches the Rfam family "Bacterial small subunit ribosomal RNA", at positions 524 to 776 of the family's 1533-position model. The record is from RNAcentral.
GACAGAGGCCUCGAGCGUUAGGCGGAAUCACUGGGCUUAAAGCGUGUGUAGGCGGGCCCGUAAGUGUCUUGUGAAAUCCCACGGCUCAACCGUGGAACUGCUGGGCAUACUGCGGGUCUUGGGCCAACUAGGGGCAGCCGGAACAAGCGGUGGAGCGGUGAAAUGCGUAGAUAUCGCUUGGAGCGCCGAAGGUGAAAACAGGCUGCUGGGGUUGCGCCGACGCUGAGACACGAAAGCCAGGGGAGCAAACGGG